Molecule: ribosomal RNA, 869 nt
Filed under: uncultured fungus
Lineage: Eukaryota; Fungi
Description: LSU rRNA
Rfam family: Eukaryotic large subunit ribosomal RNA
Source: RNAcentral
GCCCUAGUAACGGCGAGUGAAGCGGCAAUAGCUCAAAUUUGAAAGCUGGCCUUUGGUCCGCAUUGUAAUUUGUAGAGGAUGCUUUUAGGCAGCCGCCGGUCUAAGUUCCUUGGAACAGGACGUCAUAGAGGGUGAGAAUCCCGUAUGUGACCGGCUCAGGCACCUUCUGUAAAGCUCCUUCGACGAGUCGAGUUGUUUGGGAAUGCAGCUCUAAAUGGGAGGUAAAUUUCUUCUAAAGCUAAAUACUGGCGAGAGACCGAUAGCGCACAAGUAGAGUGAUCGAAAGAUGAAAAGUACUUUGGAAAGAGAGUUAAAAAGCACGUGAAAUUGUUGAAAGGGAAGCGCUUGCAAUCAGACUUGGCCUCGGUUGUUCAACCGGUCUUUUGACCGGCCUAUUCAAUCGGGGGAGGCCAGCAUCAGUUUCGGCGGCCGGAUAAAGGCCUUGGGAAUGUGGCCUCUCUUCGGGGGAGGUGUUAUAGCCAGGGUGUAAUACGGUCAGCUGGGACUGAGGUCCGCGCUUCGGCUAGGAUGCUGGCGUAAUGGUUGUAAGCGGCCCGUCUUGAAACACGGACCAAGGAGUCUAACAUCUAUGCGAGUGUUAGGGUGUCAAACCCUUACGCGUAAUGAAAGUGAACGGAGGUGGGAACCCGCAAGGGUGCACCAUCGACCGAUCCUGAUGUCUUCGGAUGGAUUUGAGUAAGAGCAUAGCUGUUGGGACCCGAAAGAUGGUGAACUAUGCCUGAAUAGGGUGAAGCCAGAGGAAACUCUGGUGGAGGCUCGCAGCGGUUCUGACGUGCAAAUCGAUCGUCAAAUUUGGGUAUAGGGGCGAAAGACUAAUCGAACCAUCUAGUAGCUGGUUCCUGCCGAAG